GGAGAAAGCCCAGAAUUAGGGCUUCUACUAACAAAUUGGUAUCAGAGCUCUUUCCUGUGGUGGGCUCUGUUGCUGGAAGUUUCUAGGGCUGUCGCAAGAUGCUUACGAGUGUAGUGGUGAGUAAAGAAGCCAUUAGAAUGGAUGAACUUGAGGAGAAGUUACGGGUGAUGGAAGAAGGCACCGAUAAGAGGAUAGAACAGAAAAUGGAAGAUAUGAGGAAAAUGAUGAUCAAUGAGAUGCGAAUCUUGAUGACUGGAUUUUUCAUUGAUAAAGGAAAAGGAACUAUGAAUGAGGAAGUGGGAGGAAAUGUAGUUCAAGAAGGACAAGGAAGCAAAAGGAUUUUGCCAAAUCCAAAGAAACCAGAAAAAGAAAAGCAAGAGGAACAGUUGAGUGUUUCUUUUGUUUUAGGAGAUGGGGAAGCCUCAGGGUUAUUACCAAAAAUUGAGUUGAUUACUUGUGAUCGGAUUGAACCUAGGGUUUGGCUUAGAAAAUGUGAGAAGUACUUUGACAUUUAUAAGGUGGCAAGGGAUGAAAGAGUGGGAAUUGUAGCUUUGUUUUUAAUAUAUCGGGCAGAUUCUUGGUUUCAUAAUUUUGGUAUCGGAAGAAUUUGGGAGGGAGUUGUGUAUUAGAUUUGGGGAUGAAGAAAUGGAAGAUGUAAUAGAGGAAUUCAUGAAAAUGAGGCAAGAGGGUUUUAUGGUCAAGUACCAGGAUAAGUUUGAGGAAUUAAGGGUAAGAAUGGAGAGGAUUAUGCCCUAUCUUGAUGAGAAUUACUUUCUUUCUGGAUUCAUUGGCAGGUUAAAGGGAUGCUAUACGGCCAAUGGUGAGAAUUGUAAGGCUUUCAACCAUUUCACAUACCUUUGAAAUUGCAGGAUUUCAAGGACAGCUAUUGGGAAGUACUAAGAAGUUCAGACCCUAUUCUGCUUAUUCCAAGCCCUAUUAGUCCUUUUCAAACACCAAUAAUUCCUACAAACCAUCUCAACAUGGCCUUUCACGGUCACAGCCUUCCAAAAUAUCAAAUGUAGACUCAAGCUCUGCUGUUAGACCUACUUCUUUAGCUAGUAAUUCCAAUAUUAAACCCGCACAGUCAGUUUCCAAUAGUAAUUCAGUGAAUGUUCCAACUUUGAAACCCUCUUUUCCUCCUAAACCACCCAAUCAAUCAUCUGCUAGAUAACCUAAACCCUGUUAUAGGUGUGGAGAUAGAUACUUUCCUGGGCAUGUGUGUAAACAAAAAUCCGUUAUGGCUUUGCAGGCCAGUGAUCGAGAUAAGGAAUAUUGGGUUGAGCACAGUACAGAGGACGAAGAGGUGGAAGGUAGCAAUGCAGCAGCUGAUGAAGGGGAAGAGUUUUUGGCAAGUAUGGAGGAGAUGACACUUUCUAUUCAUGCUAUUGAGGGCAGGCAAGGACUAGAGAUAAUCAAAGUAAUUGGGCAGUAUAAGAAUAGGAAGUCGUUGAUUUUAAUAGACAGUAGCAGUACCCUUAGUUUUAUAGACACCAGGGUCGCUAAUGAAUUGAAGUGGUCUCUAGUAAGUACCUUUGCUAUUCCUAUUUCAAUGCAAGAGAAAGAAGGUUGGAAAUAGGAGGGAAGAGAAUGUUUUGGAAGGAAAAUGAGUUAGGCAGUUGUGUAGCUGUUAGAGUUGUUAAGAGUCAAUUAUGGAAUUUGUUAAAGUCAAUAAAUAGGUGGCUCAUACUUGUAGAUGACCAUUCUGAAUCAAAUACAGAAACUAAUCUCUUUCUCUUCCUAAAUUCUCUCCUCUCUCUCUCUCCGUCUCUUCCCAAUCUCUUAACUCCAUUCCAAGAGGUAGAAACCCCAGAAGUAGGGUUUCUACUGACAGGUUGACUAGUGGGGAUGAGGAAUUUGUUGUGUGGCAAUAUCUUGCAACGAAGAGCACUGAGUGAGAAUUUGGUUGUAGCUCUUCUCAAAUUGAUUCAUGUAGUUCAAAACGCACAGAUCUCUAAGUUAAUGACCACCAAUUCAGUAAGUUUUUGGUAGAGUUGAUGGAUCCUAUUUUUGUUUGGAAAUUUGUGACGAUGUAGUGAUAAAGCAGCUGGGUAGUUUGCCCAGUCCUCAAUUUUUUGUGUAGGGAAGCGGUAUUUGCACUUGAUGAUACAUUUAUGAUAACUACAUAUUCCCCUCCCAUUCAAGUGUUCUAUCAUUGGCAUAGUGAUGAGGGACUUUUUGCCAAGCCUGUAAAUCUUUAGGGAGUAGGUUCAUGAAACCUGACUAUGGGUGUCAAGCAACCCGGCUUUUCUUGCGAUCCAUGUUGAGUCAUCUAUGCUCAGACCUAGUCAUGUCUUUUGGCUUUUUGCAUAUUGCAAUGCUGCCCUUUUUGGUGUCAAUGAUGUCAUCAUCAUUGUGAAAUACAAAUUUAAAGAAAGUAAAUUUUGAAAUAAAAUGUGAAAUUAACAAUGAUCUUCCCUUGAGUUUUAAACUUCCUCUUUGCUAAACUGUGUUCUCAAGCUAUGAACCCAAGAUAUCUCUUAUUUAGUGAAUUGAAAUUCUGGCCUCUUAUAGUUUGUGGCCCGUAGCAAUUAAUUGUUUCAAGUCCAGAUCUCAUUGAAGGGAUUUUGUACAUUUAUAUCCUUUGCUAAUGACAAGAAAUCUUAUUUCUGAGUACAAAAACGAGCUUUCCAUGCAUAUAAAAAAGAUUGUCAUUUAUUAAGGAUCUUUAAAUGUCAUUUGAAAUUCCUUGUAGAUAGUGUUUCUAUUGGCUUAUUAUCUUUUUAUUUUGGACUUUCCAGAGCCACCCUAUCAGUAAUAACC
This 2760-nucleotide unclassified non-coding RNA is filed under the name Hevea brasiliensis (rubber tree). Lineage: Eukaryota; Viridiplantae; Streptophyta; Magnoliopsida; Malpighiales; Euphorbiaceae. The record is from RNAcentral.